UGGGUGGUUAGCUCAGUGGUAGAGCAUCUGCCUUACAAGCAGAUGGCCACUGGUUCAAAUCCAGUACCACUCAUC
RNAcentral lists this transfer RNA (75 nucleotides) under Neogoniolithon spectabile. RNAcentral's name for it is "tRNA-Val". It matches the Rfam family "tRNA". From Rfam's summary of the family: Transfer RNA (tRNA) molecules are approximately 80 nucleotides in length. Their secondary structure includes four short double-helical elements and three loops (D, anti-codon, and T loops). Further hydrogen bonds mediate the characteristic L-shaped molecular structure. tRNAs have two regions of fundamental functional importance: the anti-codon, which is responsible for specific mRNA codon recognition, and the 3' end, to which the tRNAs corresponding amino acid is attached (by aminoacyl-tRNA synthetases). tRNAs cope with the degeneracy of the genetic code in two manners: having more than one tRNA (with a specific anti-codon) for a particular amino acid; and 'wobble' base-pairing, i.e. permitting non-standard base-pairing at the 3rd anti-codon position. The record is from RNAcentral. Lineage: Eukaryota; Rhodophyta; Florideophyceae; Corallinales; Spongitidaceae.